RNAcentral lists this transfer RNA (61 nucleotides) under Arctotanais alascensis. RNAcentral describes it as "tRNA-His". The record is from RNAcentral. Lineage: Eukaryota; Metazoa; Arthropoda; Malacostraca; Tanaidacea; Tanaididae.
UUUUACAUAGUUUAAUUAAAACAUUGAGUUGUGGUCUCAGAGAUGAUUAAUAUCUUAAAAU